This 464-nucleotide ribosomal RNA is filed under the name uncultured bacterium. Its description in RNAcentral is "partial 16S ribosomal RNA". It matches the Rfam family "Bacterial small subunit ribosomal RNA", at positions 29 to 507 of the family's 1533-position model. The record is from RNAcentral.
ACGAACGCUGGCGGCGUGCUUAACACAUGCAAGUCGAACAGAUAGGCCCUGCUUGCAGGGUACUCGAGUGGCGAACGGGUGAGUAACACGUGGGUGAUCUGCCCUGCACUUCGGGAUAAGCCUGGGAAACUGGGUCUAAUACCGGAUAGGAGCCAUUUUUAGUGUGAUGGUUGGAAAGUUUUUUCGGUGUAGGAUGAGCUCGCGGCCUAUCAGCUUGUUGGUGGGGUAAUGGCCUACCAAGGCGGCGACGGGUAGCCGGCCUGAGAGGGUGGACGGCCACAUUGGGACUGAGAUACGGCCCAGACUCCUACGGGAGGCAGCAGUGGGGAAUAUUGCACAAUGGGCGCAAGCCUGAUGCAGCGACGCCGCGUGGGGGAUGACGGCCUUCGGGUUGUAAACUCCUUUCGCUAGGGACGAAGCUUUUUGUGACGGUACCUAGAUAAGAAGCACCGGCUAACUACGUG